UACGUAGGGGGCGAGCGUUGUCCGGAAUUAUUGGGCGUAAAGAGCGUGUAGGCGGUUUUGUAAGUCUGCUGUGAAAUCCUGGAGCUCAACCCUGGGAGUGCAGCGGAUACUGCCGGGCUAGAAGGUGGUAGAGGCGAGUGGAAUUCCGAGUGUAGCGGUGAAAUGCGCAGAUAUUCGGAGGAACACCAGUGGCGAAGGCGGCUCGCUGGGCCACACCUGACGCUGAGGCGCGAAAGCGUGGGGAGCGAACAGG
Molecule: ribosomal RNA, 253 nt
Filed under: uncultured bacterium
Lineage: Bacteria
Description: partial 16S ribosomal RNA
Rfam family: Bacterial small subunit ribosomal RNA
Source: RNAcentral